This 645-nucleotide ribosomal RNA is filed under the name uncultured Lactobacillus sp. RNAcentral's name for it is "bacterial SSU rRNA". It matches the Rfam family "Bacterial small subunit ribosomal RNA", at positions 28 to 629 of the family's 1533-position model. Lineage: Bacteria; Bacillati; Bacillota; Bacilli; Lactobacillales; Lactobacillaceae. The record is from RNAcentral.
GAUGAACGCCGGCGGUGUGCCUAAUACAUGCAAGUCGUACGCACUGGCCCAACUGAUUGAUGGUGCUUGCACCUGAUUGACGAUGGAUCACCAGUGAGUGGCGGACGGGUGAGUAACACGUAGGUAACCUGCCCCGGAGCGGGGGAUAACAUUUGGAAACAGAUGCUAAUACCGCAUAACAACAAAAGCCACAUGGCUUUUCUUUGAAAGAUGGCUUUGGCUAUCACUCUGGGAUGGACCUGCGGUGCAUUAGCUAGUUGGUAAGGUAACGGCUUACCAAGGCGAUGAUGCAUAGCCGAGUUGAGAGACUGAUCGGCCACAAUGGAACUGAGACACGGUCCAUACUCCUACGGGAGGCAGCAGUAGGGAAUCUUCCACAAUGGGCGCAAGCCUGAUGGAGCAACACCGCGUGAGUGAAGAAGGGUUUCGGCUCGUAAAGCUCUGUUGCUGGAGAAGAACGUGCGUGAGAGUAACUGUUCACGCAGUGACGGUAUCCAACCAGAAAGUCACGGCUAACUACGUGCCAGCAGCCGCGGUAAUACGUAGGUGGCAAGCGUUAUCCGGAUUUAUUGGGCGUAAAGCGAGCGCAGGCGGUUGCUUAGGUCUGAUGUGAAAGCCUUCGGCUUAACCGAAGAAGUGCAUCGG